Molecule: ribosomal RNA, 253 nt
Filed under: uncultured bacterium
Lineage: Bacteria
Description: partial 16S ribosomal RNA
Rfam family: Bacterial small subunit ribosomal RNA
Source: RNAcentral
UACGAAGGGGGCUAGCGUUGCUCGGAAUCACUGGGCGUAAAGCGCACGUAGGCGGCUUCUUAAGUCAGGGGUGAAAUCCUGGAGCUCAACUCCAGAACUGCCCUUGAUACUGAGAGGCUCGAGUCCGGGAGAGGUGAGUGGAACUCCGAGUGUAGAGGUGAAAUUCGUAGAUAUUCGGAAGAACACCAGUGGCGAAGGCGGCUCACUGGCCCGGUACUGACGCUGAGGUGCGAAAGCGUGGGGAGCAAACAGG